AUUGAACGCUGGCGGCAUGCCUUACACUGCAAGUCGAACGGUAACAGGUCUUCGGAUGCUGACGAGUGGCGAACGGGUGAGUAAUACAUCGGAACGUGCCUAGUAGUGGGGGAUAACUACUCGAAAGAGUGGCUAAUACCGCAUGAGAUCUACGGAUGAAAGCAGGGGACCGCAAGACCUUGUGCUACUAGAGCGGCCGAUGGCGGAUUAGGUAGUUGGUGGGAUAAAAGCUUACCAAGCCGACGAUCUGUAGCUGGUCUGAGAGGACGAUCAGCCACACUGGGACUGGGACACGGCCCAGACUCCUACGGGAGGCAGCAGUGGGGAAUUUUGGACAAUGGGCGAAAGCCUGAUGCAGCAAUGCCGCGUGCAGGAUGAAGGCCUUCGGGUUGUAAACUGCUUUUGUGCGGAACGAAAAGCCCCGGGUUAAUACCCUGGGGUCAUGACGGUACCGUAAGAAUAAGCACCGGCUAACUACGUGCCAGCAGCCGCCGUAA
This 497-nucleotide ribosomal RNA is filed under the name uncultured bacterium. RNAcentral's name for it is "partial 16S ribosomal RNA". It matches the Rfam family "Bacterial small subunit ribosomal RNA", at positions 30 to 523 of the family's 1533-position model. The record is from RNAcentral.